Saccostrea cuccullata (small rock oyster) is the source of this 404-nucleotide long non-coding RNA. RefSeq lists it as uncharacterized. NCBI's taxonomy places the organism in Eukaryota, Metazoa, Mollusca, Bivalvia, Ostreida, Ostreidae. The record is from RefSeq and is a predicted model, not a curated record. The transcript is spliced from 3 exons.
CAGAACAUUAAUACACAAGACCGAUGUUAUUUUGCUGAACCCUCGUGUCCAAAUGCCACAGAGAGCAUCAGUACCGUGGACACUACAGAAGCAUCUAAUCUAGGGUUAUCGACAAUUCAAAGUAUUUACAACACAACAUCUUACAACGUAUCUGAAGGCACCUUUCCACAAGACUCCAACGAUUCUACAGAGGUUAUUGUUUGGAAUAUGGUUGCUGUUAUGUUUUUCAUCAUUUUGAUAUUGGCUGGUGUCCUUUGGAAACGAAAACAGAAAGACAAAAGAACAACUCCUCACGUAUGUAGACUUGAUGAGAUCAACAUACAAUACAAAAAAGGAAGAUAUAACAACAGAAACAGAUUGUAAAAGUUCGUUGCUGUCACACCACACAGAACUUACUGAUGCUA